Molecule: ribosomal RNA, 797 nt
Filed under: uncultured Alphaproteobacteria bacterium
Lineage: Bacteria; Pseudomonadati; Pseudomonadota; Alphaproteobacteria
Description: bacterial SSU rRNA
Rfam family: Bacterial small subunit ribosomal RNA
Source: RNAcentral
AACGCUGGCGGCAGGCCUAACACAUGCAAGUCGAGCGCGCCUUCGGGUGAGCGGCGGACGGGUUAGUAACGCGUGGGAACGUGCCCUUCUCUACGGAAUAGCCUCUGGAAACGGAGAGUAAUACCGUAUACGCCCUUUGGGGGAAAGAUUUAUCGGAGAAGGAUCGGCCCGCGUUAGAUUAGGUAGUUGGUGGGGUAACGGCCUACCAAGCCUACGAUCUAUAGCUGGUUUUAGAGGAUGGUCAGCAACACUGGGACUGAGACACGGCCCAGACUCCUACGGGAGGCAGCAGUGGGGAAUCUUAGACAAUGGGGGCAACCCUGAUCUAGCCAUGCCGCGUGAGUGAUGAAGGCCUUAGGGUCGUAAAGCUCUUUCGCCUGUGAUGAUAAUGACAGUAGCAGGUAAAGAAACCCCGGCUAACUCCGUGCCAGCAGCCGCGGUAAUACGGAGGGGGUUAGCGUUGUUCGGAAUUACUGGGCGUAAAGCGCGCGUAGGCGGAUUAGAAAGUUGGGGGUGAAAUCCCGGGGCUCAACCCCGGAACUGCCUCCAAAACUGCUAGUCUAGAGUUCGAGAGAGGUGAGUGGAAUUCCGAGUGUAGAGGUGAAAUUCGUAGAUAUUCGGAGGAACACCAGUGGCGAAGGCGGCUCACUGGCUCGAUACUGACGCUGAGGUGCGAAAGUGUGGGGAGCAAACAGGAUUAGAUACCCUGGUAGUCCACACCGUAAACGAUGAAUGCCAGUCGUCGGAUAGUAUACUAUUCGGUGACACACCUAACGGAUUAAGCAUUCCGCCUGGGG